GAUGAACGCUGGCGGCGUGCCUAAUACAUGCAAGUCGAGCGAACAGACGAGGAGCUUGCUCCUCUGACGUUAGCGGCGGACGGGUGAGUAACACGUGGAUCACCUACCUAUAAGACUGGGAUAACUUCGGGAAACCGGCGCUAAUGCCGGAUAAUCUAUUGAACCGCAUGGUUCAAUAGUGAAAGACGGUUUUGCUGUCACUUAUCGAUGGAUCCGCGCCGCAUUAGCUAGUUGGUACGGUAACGGCUUACCAAGGCAACGAUGCGUAGCCGACCUGAGAGGGUGAUCGGCCACACUGGAGCUGAGACGCGGUCCAGACGCCUACGGGAGGCAGCAGUAGGGAAUCGUCCGCAGUAGGCGAGAGCUUGACGGAGCAACGCGGAGUGAGUGAUGAAGGUCUUCGGAUCGUAAAGCUCGGUUAUUAGGGAAGAACAAAUGUGUAAGUAACUAUGCACGUCUUGACGGUACCUAGUCAGAAAGCCACGGCUAACUACGUG
This 497-nucleotide ribosomal RNA is filed under the name uncultured bacterium. RNAcentral's name for it is "partial 16S ribosomal RNA". It matches the Rfam family "Bacterial small subunit ribosomal RNA", at positions 28 to 507 of the family's 1533-position model. The record is from RNAcentral.